UGGGGAAUAUUGGGCAAUGGGCGAAAGCCUUACCCAGCAACGCCGCGUGAGGGAAGAAGGUUUUCGGAUUGUAAACCUCUGUCCUGGGGGACGAAGGAAGUGACGGUACCCCGGGAGGAAGCCCCGGCUAACUACGUGCCAGCAGCCGCGGUAAUACGUAGGGGGCGAGCGUUGUCCGGAAUUAUUGGGCGUAAAGGGCGCGUAGACGGCCGAGUAAGUUAUAGGUGAAAGCCCAUCUUUCAAGGAUGGAAUUGCCUGUAAUACUGCCUGGCUUGAGUGCAGGAGAGGGAAGCGGAAUUCCUAGUGUAGCGGUGAAAUGCGUAGAUAUUAGGAGGAACACCAGUGGCGAAGGCGGCUUUCUGGACUGUAACUGACGUUGAGGCGCGAAAAGCGUGGGGAGCAAAACAGGAUUAGAUACC
Molecule: ribosomal RNA, 419 nt
Filed under: uncultured bacterium
Lineage: Bacteria
Description: bacterial SSU rRNA
Rfam family: Bacterial small subunit ribosomal RNA
Source: RNAcentral